CACAGAGUGACGGGGUAUCUGCCCCGGUAAUGUGGCAAAAACGGUCACAAGCCCGU
This 56-nucleotide non-coding RNA is filed under the name unclassified sequences. The record is from RNAcentral.